AGUCCUGUCAGAACAUGGCUGCGUCUCACUUCUUCACUUCUCGCUUGUAAACAAUAAAUAUAUAAUGGUAAAAAAAGAGAUAAUAAUCCCAAAUAAAAGUUAAAUGCAUAACAAAUCGGUUCAUUGCAAACAAUAUGCCGUAAACGUCAGCAUUAUAAACGUUUUUGAGUGGAUUUGAGCUGUUUGGACUAAUUGCCCACAAUCCCUAGAGCUACAGAAGAUGUGGUUUAAAAGAGAGGCUCAGACAUUUUCCCGAAAAUUUUCUUUCGCGUUCUACAGAAGAAAGAAAGUCGUAGGAAAUGGGAAAGACGUUGAGGAUCUGACCAACGGCACCGACUUGACCAACAGAAACACAUCCAAAUGUGCCCAGGGCUGCGAGUCCUUCAGAAGAUACACACACACACACACACGGGAGGCGCGCUGACAGAUGGAUUCCUGCUGUCGGAGAGUAACGUGACCUUAUGAAGGAUUCAAGCAUCAUGUAUGAGCAGUGGAUGAAUAUUACAUAAAGCGUUUGGAAAGCUUUCUAGUUAUGAAUUUGAGGUUGUGUUCUUAAGCGUGUUUGUGGCCGUGCGCUUGUCUAUUUUUGUGUGUGUGUUUUUUUGCAUUCUAUAUGUGACUCUGUACUUGCAUGUUGUGUGUGUGUGUGUGUGUGUGUGUGUGUGUGAGGCCAAGGCCUCCUAAACACAGCCAUAUUCUGCAGAUAACCGGAUUAGGAACGAGGCGUAUAAUAAGUCUGUGAAUGUGGCCCCUGGCGCUGCUGUAAUCCUCUGCUUUGAUGUCUCUCGGCUCCAUCAGGUGCGAGCGGGCUCUCGGGCCCCGGGCUGAAGCUCCGCUCCGCAGCUCAAAGUGCCUCAUUAGUUUUGCCUGUUUACUAAACUUGGCCCCUUGUGAUGGAAAAUAGUCAGAUGCACAGCCGAAUCCUGUCGACGAUGCACAUUUCUCUCUUUUCAGAAAGUGGGAGGGUGGGAGAAGGAAGCCGGAGACAUCUUGCAGUGUCCGAAUUUACCUCAACACCAUCAUUAUCAGCAGCUUUCUGCAUCUUAUACCAGCACUGGGUUAAAUAAUUACAGGGUUAUUUAAACAACAUCAAAAAAAAA
Long non-coding RNA from Puntigrus tetrazona (Sumatra barb), 1100 nucleotides. RefSeq lists it as uncharacterized. Lineage: Eukaryota; Metazoa; Chordata; Actinopteri; Cypriniformes; Cyprinidae. The record is from RefSeq and is a predicted model, not a curated record. The transcript is spliced from 3 exons.